CCUACGGGGGGCAGCAGUGGGGAAUUUUGCGCAAUGCUCGUAAGAGUGAUGCAGCGACGCCGCGUGAAUGACGAAGGCCUUCGGGUUGUAAAGCUCUUUCGACAGGGAAGAAAAUGCCUAUAAGUAACUGUGUAUGUAUUGACGGUACCUGUAUAAGCAGCCCCGGCUAACCCGGUGCCAGCAGCCGCGGUAAGACGGAGGGGGCGAGCGUUGUUCGGAGUGAUUGGGGGUAAAGAGCACGUAGGCGGUGUUGUAAGUCAUUAGUCAAAGACUAGAGCUUAACUUUAGUAAGGCUAGUGAUACUAUGAUACUAGAGUAUAGGAGAGGAUUGCAGAAUUCCUGGUGUAGCGGUGAAAUGCGGAGAUAUCAGGAGGAAUACCAGUGGCGAAGGCGGCAAUCUGGCUGGAAACUGACGCUGAGGUGCGAAAGCGUGGGUAGCAAACAGGAUUAGAUACCCGAGUAGUC
RNAcentral lists this ribosomal RNA (465 nucleotides) under uncultured bacterium. Its description in RNAcentral is "partial 16S ribosomal RNA". It matches the Rfam family "Bacterial small subunit ribosomal RNA", at positions 338 to 795 of the family's 1533-position model. The record is from RNAcentral.